This 483-nucleotide ribosomal RNA is filed under the name uncultured bacterium. RNAcentral describes it as "bacterial SSU rRNA". It matches the Rfam family "Bacterial small subunit ribosomal RNA", at positions 28 to 507 of the family's 1533-position model. The record is from RNAcentral.
GAUGAACGCUAGCGGCAGGCUUAAUACAUGCAAGUCGAACGGGAAUUGGGUAGCAAUACCUGAUGAUAGUGGCGCACGGGUGCGUAACGCGUAUGCAACCUACCUUUAACAGGGGGAUAGCCCGGAAGAAAUUCGGAUUAAUACCCCAUAGUAUUAUGGAGAGGCAUCUUUUCAUGAUUAAAGUUCCGGCGGUUAAAGAUGGGCAUGCGUGCCAUUAGCUAGUUGGUGAGGUAACGGCUCACCAAGGCGACGAUGGUUAGGGGUCCUGAGAGGGUUACUCCCCCACACUGGUACUGAGACACGGACCAGACUCCUACGGGAGGCAGCAGUAAGGAAUAUUGGUCAAUGGGCGAAGCCUGAACCAGCCAUGCCGCGUGCAGGAAGACGGCCUUAUGGGUUGUAAACUGCUUUUGUCAGGGAAUAAACCCUCGUUUGCGAACGAGGCUGAAGGUACCUGAAGAAUAAGCAUCGGCUAACUCCGUG